AUCUGUAUGUUAGUAACUGUGUUGAACAACCUUUAUUCAUGGGGGAAUUUAUGAUGUGUUGGCUAACUGACUUCUAUACUGUUGAUACGAUUGUUGUCAGUAUAACAGGCCUGAUGCAUAACAUAGGAAACACUGUUGAUAUGGUUGUUGUCAGUGUUGCAGAUGUUAUGCAUAACAAUCUUAUUAGUUCUUGGUUUAACAAUCGCUCAUUAUUACUAUUGACAAGUAUUGAAAUCUUUUGUCGAGCUUUUAUUUUUUAAAUCAGAAUAGUCAUGAAUUCUUUUAUAUUCAUAUCUUUAGACUUGUUGAGCAAAUUGUGCUCAUUCUUGCAAAUAUUUUUCAUUUGCAGUUAAAGAAUAAUUACUAGAAUGGUCUAGCAGUAAGAGGAAAUGAAAGAAAAGAAAUUAGGUUAAGAAUCAUAUAAUUAUGG
RNAcentral lists this long non-coding RNA (430 nucleotides) under Panax ginseng (ginseng). RNAcentral describes it as "long non-coding RNA (PGIN_LNC016757)". The record is from RNAcentral. Lineage: Eukaryota; Viridiplantae; Streptophyta; Magnoliopsida; Apiales; Araliaceae.